AUCCCUGUGUGAGGCUUUUUGAAGGAUGUGUGCCUGUGUGAAAUAGGGCAGGACUGAAGCUCUGAAGCUUUUGAGGUUUCCCUUUACUUCGGAAUAUUUGACAACUACUUGCUACUCGAUAGAAUGCUGAUGACAGCACUGGCUUCAAAUCCUGGACACUGGUCUAAUUGCCCGGCUCCGUCAGCCCUGCCCAGCUUUAUUGCUGUUACUGCACAUGGAUUUUUACAAAAUAUUGUGAUUAGGAUAGUACGGAAACUUAUAUGUAGAAAUCUGUUUUGCAUCGUGCUCUGAUUGCGUUUUUCUAAUCCAUAUGCAUAAUAUCUAACCUGAACUGUAUGAACACCUUCUGCAGUAGCAUGUUUCAAAACAAAUUCUGGUGAUGCUGAGGCUUCCCCAGCAGCUUACAGCUGCAGAACAGAUACAAUCCUUGAAGACUCUCACUGAAAGCUUUUCCCCCAGAAGAGGAUAAUAGUUCAACUUUUCAAAUUUGUAAGAUUCUUUUUAAUUACUUUGUUGAUAGUGCAUCUAAAACUUUAAAUUAAUUAGUUUCUAAA
This is a long non-coding RNA of Lagopus leucura (white-tailed ptarmigan), 554 nucleotides long. RefSeq lists it as uncharacterized. The transcript is spliced from 3 exons. Lineage: Eukaryota; Metazoa; Chordata; Aves; Galliformes; Phasianidae. The record is from RefSeq and is a predicted model, not a curated record.